This 207-nucleotide ribosomal RNA is filed under the name uncultured bacterium. Its description in RNAcentral is "partial 16S ribosomal RNA". It matches the Rfam family "Bacterial small subunit ribosomal RNA", at positions 568 to 774 of the family's 1533-position model. The record is from RNAcentral.
AGUGUAGGCGGCGCGGUAAGUCAGAUGUGAAAUCCCGGGGCUCAACCCCGGAACUGCAUCCGAUACUGCCGUGCUAGAGGAUUGGAGAGGUAGCUGGAAUUCUUGGUGUAGCAGUGAAAUGCGUGGAGAUCAAGAGGAACACUCGUGGCGAAAGCGAGCUACUGGACAAUAUCUGACGCUGAGGCUCGAAGGCCAGGGUAGCGAAAG